GAUGAACGCUGGCGGCGUGCCUAAUACAUGCAAGUCGAGCGAACGGACGAGAAGCUUGCUUCUCUGAUUUUAGCGGCGGACGGGUGAGUAACACGUGGAUAACCUACCUAUAAGACUGGGAUAACUUCGGGAAACCGGAGCUAAUACCGGAUAAUAUUUUGAACCGCAUGGUUCAAAAGUGAAAGACGGUCUUUCUGUCACUUAUAGAUGGAUCCGCGCUGCAUUAGCUAGUUGGUAAGGUAACGGCUUACCAAGGCAACGAUGCAUAGCCGACCUGAGAGGGAGAUCGGCCACACUGGAACUGAGAAACGGUCCAGACUCCGACGGGAGGCAGCAGUAGGGAAUCUUCCGCAAUGGGCGAAAGCCUGACGGAGCAACGCCGCGUGAGUGAUGAAGGUCUUCGGAUCGUAAAACUCUGUUAUUAGGGAAGAACAUAUGUGUAAGUAACUGUGCACAUCUUGACGGUACCUAAUCAGAAAGCCACGGCUAACUCCGUG
RNAcentral lists this ribosomal RNA (497 nucleotides) under uncultured bacterium. RNAcentral describes it as "partial 16S ribosomal RNA". It matches the Rfam family "Bacterial small subunit ribosomal RNA", at positions 28 to 507 of the family's 1533-position model. The record is from RNAcentral.